This is a non-coding RNA of Rattus norvegicus (Norway rat), 1356 nucleotides long. The record is from RefSeq and is a predicted model, not a curated record. Lineage: Eukaryota; Metazoa; Chordata; Mammalia; Rodentia; Muridae.
CCCUCAUUAGCAUAUUAACGGUCAACUGACACCUGGUGCAAAAACCGCACAUGUGCAGUACCGUUGUUCACCACUGGAGGGCGCCCUACAUCUCAUUAUCGUAUGGCCGCCCUAGCAAGGGGACAAGCCUGCACGUGCGCAAACGCACUACUUUUGAGCGGCUGAUGAAAUGGACUUGAUCAAAUAAUAAAGAGAAGUUGGAUGCUGUGAGGAAUAAAGAGUGGGAUAAUUAAGACACAUUAGCAAGCUCAGUGGGAAACAAAGAAGUCAGCUCGAAGAAGUCACCUUUGUCUUAAAAGGAAGAGAAAGAGAAGGAGGAAAGAAGGGUCCCCACCUACUCAAGUGCCCCAGCUGGGAUUUUUCUGGUGGAGCUGGGGGACAAUGAAAAGCAUUGAACCGUGGGGAGCUUCAACCACAAAGACAAAAAGUCUUCUUGCAUCCAAUCAAGAAUCCUACCAGCCCCCAGGUGAGGGCGUUCAGUCAGACCCCUGGGUGAGGCUCUGUUGCUCUAACUGUGACAUAGUUCUGAUAUCCAGGAGAAAUCCAGGAAGAAAUGAAGACGUAUGUGAAAUUCAUUCAGCUUCAUACUCCAACCAAAUGGGCCACUUGGAACAUUAAAUGGUACAAUAUAUUCUUAUUGGGGUUGAAUGUGCAACGUUUCUUGGGGAAUUCCUCUGUUCUUAAUUGCAAGUCAGGCUUGUCCCCACCCCAUGGAGAAAACUGGGAAAUGUUUCCCGAGGGGCAUGCGCAGAGCAUUUCAGUAAGUGAGCAAGAAAGAAAUGGGAGCUCCAAAUACUGGGGUGAUCCAAAUGUGCCUUACUUUGUUGCCGAUUAUGGCUCUGGGUUAAAGGCUAUCUCUAGGAGUUUGAGAAUGUGUUAGGUCUCUCCUACCCCUGUCUCUGCCUCUACCCAAAUAUACCUCUGUCUCUACAUCUCCACCUAUCACUGCCUGACUCCGCCUCUAUCUUCCCACUUCCUGCCUCCCUUUACCACUCUGCCUUCAAAGACCUUAGAGUUCUGAGCUGGUUUAAAUCUUUACUGUGAGGUCUUCUGUUCAGCUUGGCCAGUGCUUAUGGAUGCAAUGCAUUCCCUGAGCUCAGACACAGGCCUGACUCUGUCUCUGCCUCUAUUUCUGUCUAUGCCUCUCUGCCUCUGCCUCUCUCUGUUACUCUGGCUUUGUCUGUGUCUCUGUCUCUCUCACACUCUGUGCCUCUCUGUGUGUCUCUCUGUGUGUCUCUCUGUCUCUCUCUCUCUGUCUCUCUGUCUGUCUCUCUCUGUCUCUCUCUGUCUCUGUCUCUGUCUCUCUCUCUCUCUCUCUCUCUCUCUCUCUCUCUCUCUCUCUCUCUCUCUCUCUCU